UUAAAGGUGGCCUUUGUGCUGCCGCAGAUGGAUGAGCCUGCGUUGGAUUAGCUAGUUGGUGGGGUAAGGGCCUACCAAGGCUACGAUCCAUAGCUGAUUUGAGAGGAUGAUCAGCCACAUUGGGACUGAGACACGGCCCAAACUCCUACGGGAGGCAGCAG
RNAcentral lists this ribosomal RNA (161 nucleotides) under Francisella noatunensis subsp. noatunensis. Its description in RNAcentral is "partial 16S ribosomal RNA". It matches the Rfam family "Bacterial small subunit ribosomal RNA", at positions 201 to 354 of the family's 1533-position model. The record is from RNAcentral. Lineage: Bacteria; Pseudomonadati; Pseudomonadota; Gammaproteobacteria; Thiotrichales; Francisellaceae.